This 254-nucleotide ribosomal RNA is filed under the name uncultured bacterium. RNAcentral's name for it is "partial 16S ribosomal RNA". It matches the Rfam family "Bacterial small subunit ribosomal RNA", at positions 524 to 777 of the family's 1533-position model. The record is from RNAcentral.
AACGUAGGAGGCAAGCGUUAUCCGGAUUUACUGGGCGUAAAGCGCGUGCAGGCGGCAGGGCAAGUUGGAUGUGAAAGCUCCCGGCUCAACUGGGAGAGGUCGUUCAAGACUGCCCGGCUGGAGGAUGGUAGAGGGAGGUGGAAUUCCGGGUGUAGUGGUGAAAUGCGUAGAUAUCCGGAGGAACACCAGUGGCGAAAGCGGCCUCCUGGACCAAUCCUGACGCUCAGACGCGAAAGCUAGGGUAGCAAACGGGG